This 942-nucleotide ribosomal RNA is filed under the name Salmonella enterica subsp. enterica serovar Amager. RNAcentral's name for it is "partial 23S ribosomal RNA". It matches the Rfam family "Bacterial large subunit ribosomal RNA", at positions 1217 to 2141 of the family's 2925-position model. The record is from RNAcentral. Lineage: Bacteria; Pseudomonadati; Pseudomonadota; Gammaproteobacteria; Enterobacterales; Enterobacteriaceae.
UGUGUUGUUGGGUAGGGGAGCGUUCUGUAAGCCUGUGAAGGUGUGUCGUGAGGCAUGCUGGAGGUAUCAGAAGUGCGAAUGCUGACAUAAGUAACGAUAAAGCGGGUGAAAAGCCCGCUCGCCGGAAGACCAAGGGUUCCUGUCCAACGUUAAUCGGGGCAGGGUGAGUCGACCCCUAAGGCGAGGCCGAAAGGCGUAGUCGAUGGGAAACGGGUUAAUAUUCCCGUACUUGGUGUUACUGCGAAGGGGGGACGGAGAAGGCUAUGUUGGCCGGGCGACGGUUGUCCCGGUUUAAGCGUGUAGGUGUGUGUUCCAGGUAAAUCCGGUUCACUUUAACACUGAGGCGUGACGACGAGGCACUACGGUGCUGAAGCAACAAAUGCCCUGCUUCCAGGAAAAGCCUCUAAGCAUCAGGUAACAUCAAAUCGUACCCCAAACCGACACAGGUGGUCAGGUAGAGAAUACCAAGGCGCUUGAGAGAACUCGGGUGAAGGAACUAGGCAAAAUGGUGCCGUAACUUCGGGAGAAGGCACGCUGACAUGUAGGUGAAGUGAUUUACUCAUGGAGCUGAAGUCAGUCGAAGAUACCAGCUGGCUGCAACUGUUUAUUAAAAACACAGCACUGUGCAAACACGAAAGUGGACGUAUACGGUGUGACGCCUGCCCGGUGCCGGAAGGUUAAUUGAUGGGGUCAGCGCAAGCGAAGCUCCUGAUCGAAGCCCCGGUAAACGGCGGCCGUAACUAUAACGGUCCUAAGGUAGCGAAAUUCCUUGUCGGGUAAGUUCCGACCUGCACGAAUGGCGUAAUGAUGGCCAGGCUGUCUCCACCCGAGACUCAGUGAAAUUGAACUCGCUGUGAAGAUGCAGUGUACCCGCGGCAAGACGGAAAGACCCCGUGAACCUUUACUAUAGCUUGACACUGAACAUUGAGCCUUGAUGUGUAG